AGUGAACGCUGGCGGUAGGCCUAACACAUGCAAGUCGAACGGCAGCACAGUAAGAGCUUGCUCUUACGGGUGGCGAGUGGCGGACGGGUGAGGAAUACAUCGGAAUCUACUUUUUCGUGGGGGAUAACGUAGGUAAACUUACGCUAAUACCGCAUACGACCUACGGGUGAAAGCAGUGGAUCUUCGGACCUUGCGCGAUUGAAUGAGCCGAUGUCGGAUUAGCUAGUUGGCGGGGUAAAGGCCCACCAAGGCGACGAUCCGUAGCUGGUCUGAGAGGAUGAUCAGCCACACUGGAACUGAGACACGGUCCAGACUCCUAAGGGAGGCAGCAGUGGGGAAUAUUGGACAAUGGGCGCAAGCCUGAUCCAGCCAUACCGCGUGGGUGAAGAAGGCCUUCGGGUUGUAAAGCCCUUUUGUUGGGAAAGAAAAGCAGCAGGUUAAUACCCCGCUGUUCUGACGGUACCCAAAGAAUAAGCACCGGCUAACUUCGUG
RNAcentral lists this ribosomal RNA (492 nucleotides) under uncultured bacterium. RNAcentral's name for it is "partial 16S ribosomal RNA". It matches the Rfam family "Bacterial small subunit ribosomal RNA", at positions 29 to 507 of the family's 1533-position model. The record is from RNAcentral.